Long non-coding RNA from Oryza brachyantha (malo sina), 502 nucleotides. RefSeq lists it as uncharacterized. The transcript has 2 exons. The record is from RefSeq and is a predicted model, not a curated record. NCBI's taxonomy places the organism in Eukaryota, Viridiplantae, Streptophyta, Magnoliopsida, Poales, Poaceae.
AAAUUACGAGAGCACGAUGACCGCUCGCUCCAUUUAAUGAAUUAAUUAAUGGCGGAGGCGGCCGAUCGAGACCGACGGCGACCGGUCUCCCACGGCUCUUAGUUGGGAAAAGGCGCGCGCGCUGGCCCUAUCAAUGGAGGCAUCUAUCAUCGGCCGGGCGGCCGGUCACUCACCGUCCCUCGCGUCGGCGUCGUCCCGCCCGGCGUCUCUCUGGAGUAAUAAAUUUCGUCUCCUCGAUCUCCGCUUUUGAAGAGUGAGACGGCUGCCACUGAAGGCACUGAUCACCAUCUCAGUAUCUCACAAUCUCAUCAGGAUAGUACACUGUGCUCCUUGCAAUCAAAUAAUGGAAGGGAUCAUGGUGGGAAGGGAUAAUAAUGGUGGCUAAUUAAAUUAAAGGCACGGCUCGGCUCACGGUUGGCGAGCUUUGGUGUUGUGUUAGCAUGCUCUGUUCUGUUCAUCAGAUAAGGCCCAUCGUUCUCACCCGUGCCUUGUAAUUUGUUGA